Molecule: ribosomal RNA, 519 nt
Filed under: uncultured bacterium
Lineage: Bacteria
Description: bacterial SSU rRNA
Rfam family: Bacterial small subunit ribosomal RNA
Source: RNAcentral
UGGGGAAUAUUGCGCAAUGGGCGAAAGCCUGACGCAGCAACACCGCGUGAGGGAUGACGGCCUUCGGGUUGUAAACCUCUUUCAGCUCCGACGAAGCGAAAGUGACGGUAGGAGCAGAAGAAGCACCGGCUAACUACGUGCCAGCAGCCGCGGUAAUACGUAGGGUGCAAGCGUUGUCCGGAAUUAUUGGGCGUAAAGAGCUCGUAGGCGGUUCGGUAAGUCGGGUGUGAAAACUCUGGGCUCAACCCAGAGAGGCCACUCGAUACUGCUGUGACUAGAGUGCGGUAGGGGAGCGGGGAAUUCCUGGUGUAGCGGUGAAAUGCGCAGAUAUCAGGAGGAACACCAGUGGCGAAGGCGCCGCUCUGGGCCGUAACUGACGCUGAGGAGCGAAAGCAUGGGUAGCAAACAGGAUUAGAUACCCUGGUAGUCCAUGCCGUAAACGUUGGGCACUAGGUGUGGGUCUCAACCAACGAGAUCCGCGCCGUCGCUAACGCAUUAAGUGCCCCGCCUGGGGAGUAC